UACUUAUCAAAUUAAAUAGCUCUGGUCUCCAGUAUAUUGGCGAAUUUGGUUCUUUGUACUUAAUUUAUUAGCAUGAUUUCUUUUUAAUAUGUUGUGUACAGACUUAAUUACUUCUCUGUCUACUUUUCUUACUCCAUGUAGGUUUCCCAGAGACUAUGGGUUGAGGAGGAAUUGGAAGUUUGUCGGCUUAGACCUGGUGUCAUUCCAUCAGUGUUAAACUUCCCGGCUCAUCUUGGAAGAGUACGUGCCAGAAAGACCACAACCAAGCAGCCUUGAGAUCUUAGGCAGCGUCUCCCUGAGGUCCCUCUCUAUCUCCCCACACAUCCACCAACCACUGGAACACAUCUCCAAAUUCUGCUGGACCAGCUCAGCUUCCCCUCAGAAGAAGUGCCACCACCUGCCAGAUGAAGGAGCCUUUUGAGAGGCAGCUGGCAUCGUGAUUGGACUGUACUUUGGUCUGUUCCAAUCCAGCUUCAGCUCCAGAGACGGCAGGCGGGACGAGUCAACGGAGGCCUGGUGGACGAAGGCAUGAAGCUGAGUACAAUCCAGAAAACAACAGAGGAGGAG
Molecule: long non-coding RNA, 567 nt
Organism: Amphiprion ocellaris (clown anemonefish)
Lineage: Eukaryota; Metazoa; Chordata; Actinopteri; Pomacentridae
Source: Ensembl